RNAcentral lists this ribosomal RNA (477 nucleotides) under uncultured bacterium. Its description in RNAcentral is "partial 16S ribosomal RNA". It matches the Rfam family "Bacterial small subunit ribosomal RNA", at positions 28 to 507 of the family's 1533-position model. The record is from RNAcentral.
GAUUAACGCUGGCGGCGUGCAUAACACAUGCAAGUCGAACGAUGAAACUUUUUUGAUUUCUUCGGAAUGAUUAAAAGUGGAUUAGUGGCGGACGGGUGAGUAACGCGUGAGUAACCUGCCUUAGAGAAGGGGAUAGCCUUUGGAAACGAAGAAUAAUACCCUAUGAAACCAUAACCUCGCAUGAGGAAUUGGUCAAAGAUUUAUCGCUCUAAGAUGGACUUGCGUCUGAUUAGUUAGUUGGUGGGGUAACGGCCCACCAAGACAGCGAUCAGUAGCCGGCUUGAGAGAGUGUACGGCCACAUUGGGACUGAGACACGGCCCAGACUCCUACGGGAGGCAGCAGUUGGGAAUUUUGCACAAUGGGGGAAAACCUGAUGCAGCGACGCCGCGUGAUUUAGAAGGCCUUCGGGUUGUAAAAAUCUUUUCUAUGGGAAGAAAAUGACAGUACCAUAGGAAUAAGGACCGGCUAAUUACGUG